ACGGCGCCGGCGUGCCCCGCCUACACCUAGGGGCGAGGGACCGGGGAGGUUCGUGGGUCGUGCCGUGGCUCAGGGCCGCGGGGUCCAGUUCCCUGGAGCGGGUGGCUGCUGACACGCGUGUGCAUGCCGGGGAACACCUCCCGGUGGUGGUGCUUCAGGCGCGGGGAUCAAGAGUCAGACUCUGAGGAACAUGACUCAAGGCUGGAGGGCCUCAAGAGUCCAGCCUGCUGCAGGCACCUAAAGCCCUUGGGCACCAAGUAGCUUGCACAGUCUAGUGACGGGGAACUUGCCACCUACUGAGCUGGCCUAGUUUUCCCUGGACAGCGCGGCCUGUUGGUUCCUUAGAAUGCAAACAAGAGCUGUCACUGACGCACAAAGCGCCUACUGUGUGCCGGGCAUUGUGCAGUAAAGGCUGAAAAAGGGAAAGGUUGCCCAGAAAACUUCACCCACACGCUGUACUGUGAACUUUUAAAGGAUGGAUGAAACGCCCCAUUUCCAGGCACUUCAUAGCAUCCCAAACAUGAGUCAUCUUGGCGAAGAGGAUGUGACAUCCAAGGGCGACCACAGGGCCUCUCUCUCAACACUCGUGAGAACCAGAUUCUUCCCCCUGGUUCUGGAGCUCCCAGCGGAGUUCUGGAAGCUGAUGAGAGAGAACAUCAGAAAUAAUAGAUCACUUGCCCACGGAGACACCAGCUGCAGUGUUUUCGGGAGAGGCUUGUGUGAAGAGGAACUAUGGUUUCCUGC
Molecule: long non-coding RNA, 744 nt
Organism: Manis pentadactyla (Chinese pangolin)
Lineage: Eukaryota; Metazoa; Chordata; Mammalia; Pholidota; Manidae
Exons: 4
Source: RefSeq, a predicted model, not a curated record